This is a long non-coding RNA of Paramisgurnus dabryanus, 3374 nucleotides long. RefSeq lists it as uncharacterized. The record is from RefSeq and is a predicted model, not a curated record. NCBI's taxonomy places the organism in Eukaryota, Metazoa, Chordata, Actinopteri, Cypriniformes, Cobitidae.
AGGUCUUUGUUUGCUGAUGAUGGAGCAUUAUGGAAGAGAGGAAGAAAUAUUGAACAUAUAAUUAGGAAGUUGCAAGGGGGUAUUAGCCAAGUGGAAAAAUGGGGUGAUGAAUGGGGCUUUAAAUUCUCAGUUGAAAAGACUAAGGUAGUAUUUUUUACUAGGAAAAAGGUAGGAGAAUACCAGUUAAAGCUGUAUGGGAACAACCUAGAAAAGGUGGAGUGUUUUCGCUUUCUGGGUGUUUUAUUCGAUGCUAAGUUAACAUGGAAGAAUCAUAUAAGACAGGUUGUUGACAAAUGUAAGAAAGUUAUAAACGUCAUGAGAUGCCUUUCAGGGCUACAGUGGGGAGCUAGUAUUACAGCUCUGAGGUAUAUUUACAUAGCACUAAUAAGGUCGAGAUUAGAUUAUGGAUGUAUAGCCUAUGGAUCAGCAUCGAAGACUGCAUUAAGAGAACUAGAUAUAAUCCAAGCUCGAGCUUUAAGAAUUUGUAUUGGAGCAGUAAGAACUACGCCAGUAUGUGCAAUGCAGGUAGAAGCUGGGGAGAUGCCAUUAGAGUUACGCCGAAAUCAAUUAACAGCUAACUACUGGAUCAAUUUGAGAGGGCAUAGUGACAGCCACCCAACAAAAAAGGUAUUGCAAGCAAGCUGGGAGAAGGAAAAAGGAAACAGGAAAAGCUUUGGAUGGACAGGAGAUCAAAUAGCAGCUGAUAUGAGAAUAAAUAAUAUAGAAUUUGAAGAAAAUAAUAUAUGGCCCAAUAGACCAGUAUGGCUACUAGAGUAUCCAAAAGUAGAUAAAGAGCUACUAAAUAUUAGACGGAGUGAUGAGCCAUCAGAUACAGUAGCAGAGUAUUACAGGAGGAGGGAAUGCAUAUAUAAGACAUAUAUUCAGAUUUUUACGGAUGGAUCAAAAGAGGGAAACAUAACGGGUUUAGGUAUGACGGUGCCUAAGUAUAAGAUAGAAAUGUACAAAAGAACAUCUGAUCAUUUGAGUGUAUACGCUGUGGAAAUGUGUGCUAUCAUGAUGGCAGUACAGUGGAUUGUAGAGAAUAAUAAUCAAGAUUUUGUUGUAUGCAGUGAUUCUGUAUCGACGCUUAUGAGCAUUGAGGCAGGUGCUGCUAAAAGUCAUCAGGGCCUGCUUUAUGAGAUUUUAUUUAAUUACACGAUAGCAGUCAGACAGGGGAAAAAUGUUGCUUUCAUGUGGGUGCCGGCGCAUUCAGGUAUUAAAGGAAAUGAGGAAGCUGACAAGCUAGCAAAAAAGGCAGUAAAAAAGGAAGAUGUUGAACUGCAUAUCAAAUUAGCUAAAUCAGAAGGUAAGAGUAUAGUUUGGAGUGAAACAAUGGAGAAAUGGCAGCAGCAAUGGAGUAAUGAAAUAAAGGGAAGACACUGUUAUUCCAUACAAAGUACUGUAGGUGGCAAUAGAGGUAAGGGGAGAAACCGGAAAGAGCAAGUCAUUUUAAGUAGAUUAAGAUUGGGACAUAGCAACUUAAAUAGCACUCUUCAUAUUAUAGGAAAGCACCCAACAGGUUUGUGUGAUUAUUGUCAGGAAAAGGAGACUGUGGAGCAUAUCCUUAUAUCAUGUGGAAAAUAUAAUCAGGAAAGGCAAGAAGUGAUGGCACAGCUACAGAGUAUUGAGCAAAUAGAUGUAAGUGUUAAAAAUAUCUUAUAUUUAGCGGAAAAGGGACAAGGAGCAAGUUAUUUUUUUGACUAUUUAAAAGAAACUGGACUGGAUAAGAGAAUUUAGGAGGAGACAAAUAUGAGCAGAAGAUGGCAGUAGUGCAACAAACUGGAUGCAAGCUGCCGCUAAACACCAAAGAAGAAGAAGAAGAAGCAUGGAUUACUCUCGGUCUCUUUGUUUGCUCAUCGACAUUACGAGGUCAUGUACACUGUGGUCAACUUUGUGGACGAUGAAGAGGUUUCUGGGUAAAGAUGAUAGAAAUAUAACGAAGUAACAGUGGAAGCUAAAACAUCAGACUGAUCUCGACACUGAAGAAAUUGAUGUCACUGCAAUCUGGCCAAAAUGAUACAACAAUAUUGAAGUAGCCUACUGUAAUGAAGCUGCAGAACAACACAGAGACUCUGAGGACAUCAACACAGAAAAUGAAGGCUCCAAAGAGAUGUCUGUCCAGAUGAGGGUGCAUCAACUUUACCUUUGCUGACAACAGUUAACUUAACUCAAACCAUUUAAGGAAAUCGGUUGCCUUAAACCAUUAAGUUUUAAAAAACAUACAUUUGAGUACUGUGAACUUAAGUCUUGUGCAAUUAUGCACUUAUAUUUAGGUAGUGUGAACUUAAAUAUAAGUGCAUAACUGCUUGUGACUCAAUUUUUUUAAGUUCACAGUACUCAAAUCUAUGUGUUUUAAAACUUGAAUGGUUUAAUGCAACCGGUUUUCUUAAAUGUGAGAAGUGACAGUGUUACAGUGAGAAAUGUUUGAUUAAUUCCAAGACAGAGCUCUGCUAUUGAAUCUACACUGCAAAAAAUCACUUUCUAACUUAGGAUUUUUAUCUUGUUUUCAGUAGAAAAACUAAAAAUUCUUAAAUCAAGAUGUAUUUUCUUGAUGAGCAAAAUUACCUUAGAAAAUAUGUGUAGUUUUUAGACAAAAAUAUACAUUUUAAGUAAAUUUGUGCCUAAACAAGCAAAAAUAUCUUAACAGUGGAGUGAGAAAAUUGUGCUUAAAUUAAGUUUUUAUGAAAAAAGAAAACGUAAGAUUUUUUUUCUCACACCAUUGGCAGAUAUUUUUGCUUGUUUUAAGCACAAAUUCACUUAAAGUGUGUGUGUGUGUUUAUUUAUUUUGUCUAAAACUAGACUUAUUUUCUUAGGUCAUUUUGUUCAAGAAAAAGCAUUUUAAUUUAAAUAAUAUUUCUACUAAAAACAAGACAAUAAUACUAUGUAAGAGUCAUUUUUUGCAGUGUAGGACUGAUUUCUUAAAGCAAGAUCAAUAUAGUUGUUGUUCAUUUUAUUUAGAUAUUUACUACAUUACAGUGGCAGCUGGUGACUUGUUUUUUGUGAGCACUUGAUGCGAAGUUUGUCACAACAUGUAUACAGCCCGUCAUUUGUGUGGUUCCCAAUUUCAAAAUAUGUGUUCUGCGUGUAUGUGUAUCACGUGUUUUGACUAAACACGUGAUGCACAUGGUUUACAUGAAGCAACAAAAACAUUUUAAAAACACAAGCAACACACAUGACACUCCGAACACUUAUUUUGAAUUUGCAACCGCCACUGCUACAUUACAUUGUACUGCUUUGAAUGUAGUUUUCAUUGUUGCUUUUAUUUUGUUUUAUUUUACUCUAAUAUUGCUUUCUCUGUCUGUAUAUUUAUAAGUUUAAAUAGUAUUGUUUAUGUAUGCAACUUCUAAUAUUUAUGUGUAAUAUUAUUUUGUGAU